This 370-nucleotide ribosomal RNA is filed under the name uncultured bacterium. RNAcentral's name for it is "bacterial SSU rRNA". It matches the Rfam family "Bacterial small subunit ribosomal RNA", at positions 29 to 426 of the family's 1533-position model. The record is from RNAcentral.
AGCGAACGCUGGCGGCAGGCCUAACACAUGCAAGUCGAACGGAUCCUUCGGGAUUAGUGGCGGACGGGUGAGGAACACGUGGGAACGUGCCUUUUGGUUCGGAACAACUCAGGGAAACUUGAGCUAAUACCGGAUAAGCCCCUAGGGGGAAAGAUUUAUCGCCAAUUGAGCGGCCCGCGUCUGAUUAGCUAGUUGGUGGGGUAAUGGCCCACCAAGGCGACGAUCAGUAGCUGGUCUGAGAGGAUGAUCAGCCACAUUGGGACUGAGACACGGCCCAAACUCCUACGGGAGGCAGCAGUGGGGAAUCUUGCGCAAUGGGCGAAAGCCUGACGCAGCCAUGCCGCAUGAAUGAUGAAGGCCCUCGGGUUGU